AUGACUAUUAGGGGAGAAAGAAGCAGUGUGCUCAGGAGGGAUCUGAUCAAACUCUGUUAUCAACAGACAGCGUUAGUCCAUAGAGCUGUAAUCCAAAGUAAAGCUCUUUGCACCUCCCUGGAGCUGGAGAGUUUAGGUAGGAGCAGGAGUCUGCUGGUAGGAACUCCAAGCAGGAUGAAAAUCUCAGUUUUUUUCUUUCUUUUUUGCUAUGUGUGAUUCAUUUUCAUGGGAUUGUAAGGAUGGUCUCUUGUGAUUUCAGUCUUCUUUCCUGUAAACAAGGGCAUUGGUCUCUGUUGUCUAUUCUUGCUUUUCUUACCCUAAUGAGUGUGCAUUAUAAGCAGAGGUGUACAACAUAAAUAGAACCUUGUAAGUACUUGUAAAUAAAGACUCUUAGAAACCCUUUAUAGGGAAGCCCUAUAGACAUUAAUAGAUAGUGAACACUUUUCUAUGGGAAUUGUUUUUCCACUGGUCUAUACAAUUCAAUAGUGAAUUACAUUCCCGCAAUCAAAUCCCAAAGGAUGAUUCAGAAAACCAUUAGAAAGGAUCUAAUUCUCUGUAAUUUUCUGCAGUAAUUGAGAUAAAAGCCUUUCAGGGUGUCCUCUAUUACAGUUCAUGGGAUUUUUCCAUGGCAAAAUAAAUGAUCAGUUUAAAUUCUCCUUGGUUACUUAAGCAAAGUAAAGCUGGUAAAUGCUGGAUGCUUAUUCAGAUAGAAUUUCCUUUCAUUUCCAUGGGAAAUUUACUUAAUUUUGGGAGACAACAAGGGACAAGGAUUAGGAGGGCUGUUUGUGAUUUUUACUGUGGGACAUUAAACUCCACCUUCUGCUAGAGCCAAACAACCACAGAGAUUUUGCUACUUUUGUUCUCUGUGCUGGCAGGGAUUUGUGCUUUGCGAGGUGCUGCUCACAGCAGCACUGCAUUAACACAUGGAAGCAGUGAACUCAGAGCUCUGAUGAUCAUGGCAUUUCUGGACACUUGCAAAGUGCUAAUUGAAAAAACAUGACUAUUUUCUUCCCAUCAUGUGCUUGAAAAUCCUUCUGAGGACCAGCUUUGCUCCAUGCCCACCUGUAUCUCUUUCAGGAAGCAGCAGUGGUUUUACUAAUGUGUUGAACUGAGCUCCUGAGAAGCCUAAAUGUUUCUUUGUCCCUUUUUGCUCUGUUUGCUGCCCCAUGAGAGGCACUAAUGGCCUCUGCAGGGAACUCACUGCAGAGCCUUGGGAAGAGGUCACAC
RNAcentral lists this long non-coding RNA (1227 nucleotides) under Meleagris gallopavo (turkey). RNAcentral's name for it is "lncRNA (ENSMGAG00000019474.1)". The record is from RNAcentral. Lineage: Eukaryota; Metazoa; Chordata; Aves; Galliformes; Phasianidae.